UGUAGUACCAACUGAAGUGCCGACUGGAC
RNAcentral lists this non-coding RNA (29 nucleotides) under Mus musculus (house mouse). Lineage: Eukaryota; Metazoa; Chordata; Mammalia; Rodentia; Muridae. The record is from RNAcentral.